AGGACGAACGCUGGCGGCGUGCUUAACACAUGCAAGUCGAACGGAAAGGCCCUUUCGGGGGUGCUCGAGUGGCGAACGGGUGAGUAACACGUGGGUGAUCUGCCCUGCACUUUGGGAUAAGCCUGGGAAACUGGGUCUAAUACCGAAUACACCCUGCUGGUCGCAUGGCCUGGUGGGGGAAAGCUUUUGCGGUGUGGGAUGGGCCCGCGGCCUAUCAGCUUGUUGGUGGGGUGAUGGCCUACCAAGGCGACGACGGGUAGCCGGCCUGAGAGGGUGUCCGGCCACACUGGGACUGAGACACGGCCCAGACUCCUACGGGAGGCAGCAGUGGGGAAUAUUGCACAAUGGGCGCAAGCCUGAUGCAGCAACGCCGCGUGAGGGACGACGGCCUUCGGGUUGUAAACCUCUUUAGUAGGAAGAAGCGAAGUGACGGUACCUGCAGAAAAGCACCGGCUAACUACGUGCCAGCAGCCGC
Molecule: ribosomal RNA, 475 nt
Filed under: uncultured bacterium
Lineage: Bacteria
Description: SSU rRNA
Rfam family: Bacterial small subunit ribosomal RNA
Source: RNAcentral